This is a long non-coding RNA of Triticum aestivum (bread wheat), 2031 nucleotides long. RefSeq lists it as uncharacterized. The record is from RefSeq and is a predicted model, not a curated record. NCBI's taxonomy places the organism in Eukaryota, Viridiplantae, Streptophyta, Magnoliopsida, Poales, Poaceae. The transcript has 3 exons.
GUAUUACUUGGCUUUUUAAAUGUACCACACUAUUCACCGACGCCGAGGUUUGGCUCUCGGGCACCGUGACACUUGAUAUCUUGUGUGAAAAUACUAGACAGACUACACUCCAUGCAUGAUGAUGCAUGAUUUACAAUCAGAUAAAUGUGAAGCACUUUAUUCCCUGAUUCAAUGGCUGGAUGUGAAGCGUCGUUCAUGCAUCGUCCAAUCGUUCAAAAACGUCGUGUGUAUAGCAGCUCUCUAUCUUAUGCGUCCAUGCGGUGCUGCGGUCCAUCGGUUGAGCAGUAUUCGUACGUGUAUAAGAGCCUUAAUUGAUUCGCUGCAGCCUUAAUUGCUGAAUGUUCUUGGCACAGAUUGUCAUUCCCUUGCACUUUGUAAUUUUCAGAAAUUCAUACUUCUCACUUCUGUUAUGGACUUAGACUGGUUGUAAUGAGGAGUAUCAUAUACUAGUAUCAUGCAUAUGAUACUGGUGUAUGAUACUACCUCCCUAAUGCAUAGUACUUCCUCCGUUUUUAUUUAUUCCGCAUAUUAGCUUUGGUCAAAGUUAAACUUUAUAAACUUUGACAAAGUUUGUAGACAAAAAUAUUAACAUAUACAAUAAGAAAUCAACAUCAUUAGAUUCAUUAUCAAAUGUACUUCCACAUAGUAUAAAUUUGUUAUGGUAAAUAUUUAUAUUUUCUUCUAUAAACUUGGUCAAACUUUAGGAAGUUUGACUUCAGUCAACUCUAAUAUGUGAAGUAAAUAAAAACAGAGGGAGUAUCAUAUAUUAGUAUGAUGUAGUACUUUAUUUAUUGCCACGCAUAACACAAAGUAGCAUAUCAUUUAUUAUGAUACGGUAUCAUGAUAUGAUACUACACCCUCUCUUUCUUCAUUUAAUGCUAUGACACCUCAUCAAAAUUGUCUAGUUAGCAUGCAUGAUACUAUCUAUAAUACUACCAUUACGACCAGCUUUUUCCUUCACGUUUAGAUUUGAAGUUUUUGUUACUGUCUCAGUAGUCAGUACUAUAUUUAUAGACCUUUUGCUGGUAGGAAAUAGGUUAUAUUAAUUGUUGCGUGCAGACUGUAGUUCCGUUUAGCAUGGUCCUAAGUUUAUGUCUUCCAUUCUUACAGAGGUAUCCUUAGCAUACCAAUUAAGCUCAUGUUUGUCUCUAGAUCAUAGCUAUACAUCACAGAAAAUCUUGUUAUAACAAGUGGUCCAACCUUACAGCUCUUGUAAAUACUAACUAGCCAUUCUCUGCUUGGUUCAUCUGUCAAACCUGCAUUGUAUCAUUGUAAGGAAUUAUUAGGACUACUUUGACACUAAACAUGGGUUGCACUGAACAUGGUCAGUUCAUGAAAAAGCUCACUGUGUUAGUAGGAUACUUCAAGGAUGGUUCCUCUGUAACCCGUUAAAGCUGUUGUGGAGGCCUGUCGAAAGCCUGUACAUGGUGCAGUUCACAAGAUACAACAUUGUGGGGAAAAACCUGGCAUGGAGGAGGAUAUUCCCUUCUGUACCUACAGCCUAACUUCACUGGCGGAUCUGCCAAGGCCCAGUGCGACGCCUACAUGGUUCAUUGAUGUCAUUGGUAGGAUAACCAUGGUCUCGGAUAUCAUCCUUAUCCAUCCAUGCAUCAUAGUGGCUUCGAAAACAAGGCCAGUUAUGCUCAAGUAUCUGCUAUAAGUUAUUUGGGCCAGGAGAUCCAGAUUACCAUGUGAUGGUGCUGUUGAAUUUGACGUAGACAUGGUCCAUGCAGUGUGUGAAAAGGAGCCUCUUAUUCCUAUAUUUGUAGGAACCUUACCCAAGACUGUUCAUUCUUUUUUAGAAAAGGAGGAUGACCCCCGGCCUCUGCAUCUGGGAGAUGCAUACGGCCACUUUAUUGAUUAUUCUCGAGGACCUUACAAAGUAUUACAACAAUGUGCCUGAAUCCACCAUCUUGGCAACAUAUGUCGCUACUCCUAUCCAAUAGCAACAUAUGCCGCUACUCCUAUCCAAUAUGAUGAAGGGGUGCUAGCUGGGCCACUACCCAAACCACUCACCUAAGCCUAACAUCA